AAAUAAGAAGCGAAAUAUUGCAAUCAGUUUCGACCUGAUAAAUUGGUUAAAUUAAAACCCUUAUUUA
This 67-nucleotide transfer RNA is filed under the name Paulinia acuminata. Its description in RNAcentral is "tRNA-Arg". Lineage: Eukaryota; Metazoa; Arthropoda; Insecta; Orthoptera; Acrididae. The record is from RNAcentral.